GCAUCAGUACCACCUUAUGUGCCUGGGAAACAAAGUCGCACCAUGAACCACAGUCAACUAAGUCUUCAUGGCUCUCCAAGGACUGUGCAAUCUGAAGAACAGAUGGCAGUCUUCUGUCAGUGCUUGAAGACUUUUUCCAAGAAACAUUAAGCCUCUAUUGGGCCUCGCUUGUUAAUGCAAAAGUCCUUCUCAGGACAGAAGGUAGGAAAGUCUUUGAAGUCAUCAGAGGUUGCCAAACCAAGUGGUCACACAGACAAAACGCACUGCACAGGUGCCAGACUUCUUCCUCAGAGAUCCAUCAGAUGAACUUCCCUGCUAAAAACUUCCAUCCACUGCUCCCCAAUUUAUGUCCCCAUUCAGCUCAAAGAAGUCAG
This is a non-coding RNA of Heterocephalus glaber (naked mole-rat), 374 nucleotides long. The record is from RefSeq and is a predicted model, not a curated record. Lineage: Eukaryota; Metazoa; Chordata; Mammalia; Rodentia; Bathyergidae.